AGGACGAACGCUGGCGGCGUGCUUAACACAUGCAAGUCGAGCGGUAAGGCCCCUUCGGGGGGUACACGGGCGGCGAACGGGUGAGUAACACGUGAGCAACCUGCCCUUCACUUCGGGAUAACCCCGGGAAACGGGCUAAUACCGGAUAUGACCACCCACGGCAUCGUGGGUGGUGGAAAGUUCCGGCGGUGAGGGAUGGGGCUCGCGGCCUAUCAGCUUGGUUGGUGGGGUAUGGCCCACGAAGGCGACGACGGGUAGCCGGCCUGGAGAGGGUGACCCGGCACACUGGGAACUGAGACACGGCCCAGACUCCUACGGGAGGCAGCAGGUGGGGAAUAUUGGGGACAAGUGGGGACGAAAGCCUAGGAUCCAAGCAACGCCGCGUGGAGGA
Molecule: ribosomal RNA, 391 nt
Filed under: uncultured soil bacterium
Lineage: Bacteria
Description: bacterial SSU rRNA
Rfam family: Bacterial small subunit ribosomal RNA
Source: RNAcentral